This 389-nucleotide ribosomal RNA is filed under the name uncultured bacterium. RNAcentral's name for it is "bacterial SSU rRNA". It matches the Rfam family "Bacterial small subunit ribosomal RNA", at positions 132 to 507 of the family's 1533-position model. The record is from RNAcentral.
UAACUAGGGGGGAUAACAUUUGGAAACAGAUGCUAAUACCGCAUAAAACCUAACACCGCAUGGUGUAGGGUUGAAAGAUGGUUUCGGCUAUCACUUUAGGAUGGACCCGCGGUGCAUUAGUUAGUUGGUGAGGUAAUGGCUCACCAAGACCGUGAUGCAUAGCCGACCUGAGAGGGUAAUCGGCCACACUGGGACUGAGACACGGCCCAGACUCCUACGGGAGGCAGCAGUAGGGAAUCUUCCACAAUGGACGAAAGUCUGAUGGAGCAACCCCGCGUGAGUGAAGAAGGUUUUCGGAUCGUAAACUCUGUUGUUGGAGAAGAAUGUAUCUGAUAGUAACUGAUCAGGUAGUGACGGUAUCCAACCAGAAAGCCACGGCUAACUACGUG